UACGGAGGGUGCAAGCGUUAUCCGGAUUCACUGGGCUUAAAGGGUGCGUAGGCGGACAGGUAAGUCAGUGGUGAAAUCUCUGAGCUUAACUCAGAAACUGCCGUUGAUACUAUUUGUCUUGAAUAUUCUGGAGGUAAGCGGAAUAUGUCAUGUAGCGGUGAAAUGCUUAGAUAUGACAUAGAACACCGAUAGCGAAGGCAGCUUACUACAGAAUGAUUGACGCUGAGGCACGAAAGCGUGGGGAGCAAACAGG
Molecule: ribosomal RNA, 253 nt
Filed under: uncultured bacterium
Lineage: Bacteria
Description: partial 16S ribosomal RNA
Rfam family: Bacterial small subunit ribosomal RNA
Source: RNAcentral